ACGGCCACCCACAGCAUCCUCAUUGAGGGCAAGGUGACCGUGAGCAGCGACGUCACCUUCAAUGACGACCGCCACAGCCCGGUUCACAAUGGGCGGGCACCCCCUUCGGCACUAGCCCCGCCUGCCCCGGCGGCAGCGACCCCAUCGGCAGCUCUACACCGCCCACCAAGCUGCCGACCCCAGCGGCCACCCCACCCCCGG
This 201-nucleotide long non-coding RNA is filed under the name Volvox carteri. RNAcentral describes it as "long non-coding RNA (VCAR_LNC002921)". Lineage: Eukaryota; Viridiplantae; Chlorophyta; Chlorophyceae; Chlamydomonadales; Volvocaceae. The record is from RNAcentral.